This 495-nucleotide ribosomal RNA is filed under the name uncultured bacterium. RNAcentral describes it as "partial 16S ribosomal RNA". It matches the Rfam family "Bacterial small subunit ribosomal RNA", at positions 28 to 507 of the family's 1533-position model. The record is from RNAcentral.
GACGAACGCUGGCGGCGUGCCUAAUACAUGCAAGUAGAACGCUGAAGGAGGAGCUUGCUUCUCUGGAUGAGUUGCGAACGGGUGAGUAACGCGUAGGUAACCUGCCUGGUAGCGGGGGAUAACUAUUGGAAACGAUAGCUAAUACCGCAUAAGAGUAGAUGUCGCAUGACAUUUGCUUAAAAGGUGCAAUUGCAUCACUACCAGAUGGACCUGCGUUGUAUUAGCUAGUUGGUGAGGUAACGGCUCACCAAGGCAACGAUACAUAGCCGACCUGAGAGGGUGAUCGGCCACACUGGGACUGAGACACGGCCCAGACUCCUACGGGAGGCAGCAGUAGGGAAUCUUCGGCAAUGGACGGAAGUCUGACCGAGCAACGCCGCGUGAGUGAAGAAGGUUUUCGGAUCGUAAAGCUCUGUUGUAAGAGAAGAACGAGUGUGAGAGUGGAAAGUUCACACUGUGACGGUAUCUUACCAGAAAGAGACGGCUAACCACGUG